GGGGGUGCAGCUCAGUGAUACAGCUCUUGUCUAGCAUAUGUGAGGCCCUGGGUUCCAUCCCCAGCACCCCCC
This 72-nucleotide transfer RNA is filed under the name Marmota marmota marmota (Alpine marmot). It matches the Rfam family "tRNA". Rfam says of the family: Transfer RNA (tRNA) molecules are approximately 80 nucleotides in length. Their secondary structure includes four short double-helical elements and three loops (D, anti-codon, and T loops). The record is from Rfam by way of RNAcentral. RNAcentral also lists the same sequence under 3 other names. Lineage: Eukaryota; Metazoa; Chordata; Mammalia; Rodentia; Sciuridae.